AGGCUUGCUCUCUGAUUCANCGGCGGACGGGUGAGUAAUGCCUAGGAAUCUGCCUAUUAGUGGGGGNCAACGUUUCGAAAGGAACGCUAAUACCGCAUACGUCCUACGGGAGAAAGCAGGGGACCUUCGGGCCUUGCGCUAAUAGAUGAGCCUAGGUCGGAUUAGCUAGUUGGUGAGGUAAAGGCUCACCAAGGCGACGAUCCGUAACUGGUCUGAGAGGAUGAUCAGUCACACUGGAACUGAGACACGGUCCAGACUCCUACGGGAGGCAGCAGUGGGGAAUAUUGGACAAUGGGCGAAAGCCUGAUCCAGCCAUGCCGCGUGUGUGAAGAAGGUCUUCGGAUUGUAAANCACUUUAAGUUGGGAGGAAGGGCAGUAAGUUAAUAGC
RNAcentral lists this ribosomal RNA (388 nucleotides) under uncultured bacterium. RNAcentral describes it as "SSU rRNA". It matches the Rfam family "Bacterial small subunit ribosomal RNA", at positions 76 to 465 of the family's 1533-position model. The record is from RNAcentral.